Molecule: long non-coding RNA, 11761 nt
Filed under: Populus tremula
Lineage: Eukaryota; Viridiplantae; Streptophyta; Magnoliopsida; Malpighiales; Salicaceae
Description: long non-coding RNA (PTRE_LNC000485)
Source: RNAcentral
AUUGUAGACUUAUCCAAACGCAUCAUUGUAGAAGAUGAAGUUUACAAGGGACCCGGCUAUCCUUCACUUACAGCUGAGGAGCAAAUAGCUGCGAUUCAGUUGCCAUUAACAUACGGUCCCUUUAUCGAAUCAACUAAAAAGAGAGACCUUAACGUUUUCAUAUGUUGUUUGUUCUACAUUUACAGUGGGGUGGUUUGGAGGAGUUGAGAGAACUAAAAGGGUGGUAAAGGUUCAAUGUUUUUAUAACAAGGACACCGUUAAUUUGUACCUCAGGCCAAUAGAGGGUAUACGAAUAGUUGUCGAUCUUGAAAAAAUGAAGAUCGCUGAAUACAGUGACACGUUCAAGAUUGCGGUACCAAAAGCUGAGGGAACCGAUUACAGAUUUUCCAAGCAGAGCCCGCCUUUUGGCCCCCGUAUCAACGGUGCAGCCAUCAUGCAAACGAAUGGACCAGGCUUCGAGAUUGAUGGCCAUACUAUCAGGUUUUUUUUCUUCUAUUCUUUUUGUGCAUAUUUUGUUUCUCUUCUUCUUCUUCUUCUCAUCAUUAUUUCACUCAUCUUGAUACCUCUGUUCUAAUUAUUUGGCCAAAUUAAAAAAGAAAAAGGAGAAAUAAUUUGUCAUUUUUUGUUCUAUAAUGAACAUUCGAAUGUAAAAGCAAGUUAAGUUAAUCAGGCCAUGGUAUAUAUCUGACGUAAAAUAUGAAGAUUACGUUCAGGUUUUAAAAAUUAGGGUUACGAAACAAAUUUGAAAAUGCAGUUCUUUAAAAUUCAGAUCUCAGUCAAUGAAGGAAUUUAAUGACUAUUCACACACUCUGUGCUUGAAAAUACUCAAAUAGCAAACUAAUAUAUAUAUAUAUAUAUAUAUAUAUAUAUAUAUAUAUAUAUAUUCAGAUUAAUGAAAUCUAAUCUAACUAUUAUUUUAAAAGUCCACACUAGAUUUAAGGAAUAGCGUAGGUCAAGUUGCAAGGUAUUAGACAGGAGCCUAAUCCAAAUAAGCUAAAUUACCCAAGGCCCAUCUUCGGACUUAUAAGCAUGAUUAGUGUGCAUUUUUAUUUCAGUUAUUUUUAGAUUAAUGGAAAAACCUCUAUAUCGCAUUGGUUUUAGACCACAAUAUAAGUUGUUAAAACGUGUGAAAAAAUAUACUAGCAAUAAUUAAGAACGUUAAAGCAAUAUUUUCUUUUUCUUUAUAGUACGUAUUCAUCAAUUUUUAUCGAAGUAGAUUAUAUUUUUUGGUGAUAUUAUAAUGUAGAAGCUAUUGAAACUAUUAAAUAUCUUCAAUAGUAACAAUAAGUGAAAUUAUAUUAAUGAGGUUAGUUAGGUAUCAAAUAUGUCUACGGAAGAAUUUUAAGAGCAUACCCAAGUAUCCGAAAAGCAAUCCAUAUGUUAAUUUUAUUAUUUAUUAAUUUUGGAUAUAUUCGAAAAGCAAUCCAUAUGUAGGGAAAAAUAUCAAAUCAAAUAUGCAUACACAUGCUGGGAGUUUUUAACUAUGUUGACUACAUAUAUAUCGUUGUGUGACUUGUGUCCCUAAUAAUUAUCGAUGUAAGUAAAACAUUUAUUGACUGCUUGUGUCAAGACAAUCACCCACACCACAAGCACCUGUUUUUUUAUUUUCUUUCCUUUAUGGGUUACAAUUCAAGUUUGAUGUUUAGUUGGUACUUCAGUAAUACGCAAAUCUUUAAAACUACUCUAUAUUCGUGGUAUUUUGAAGACUAAAAGCAUUCCACUUUAAUUUAAAAAUUUUAAUUGAAAUCAUUCACCAAUAUUAAAUUAUAUAUACUUGGGAUCAAGACUUUCACCGAAAGUAAAAAAUAUGGUUAAGUAUAGACUUGGGAUCGAGACUACUUUCACCGAAAGUGAAAAAUGUGAAAAACAUGGAUAAGAGAUGGGAAAUGUUUUUUCUCCAUCGCCAUUCAUUUGGUAGACAAUGACAACGAGGAAGACAGAGAAAACACUGGAACAUUAAUAUAUAUAUAUAGGACCACUGGAAAAAGCAAUAGGCGUUUCUCGAACAUCACAAAUCACAAAGAUUAGAAAACUCGAAGGUAUCCUCCAAAUUCAAUGCUGAUUGUACGCCUUAAUUAAGUUCAGUUGUGACCACUAAAUUAAUAUGUUCUUUUGCUUUCCUUGAAUGAAUUAUUUGCACUUCGUUACUGAACAGAUUUUCUACCCUUUGGAGCUCUCACAUAUAUAGAUUUUACAAAUGCCUGUGACAUUAGCUGGUAUUGUUUUUUUCUUAAUUUUUUUUUUAUCUUAGCUGAUAAUUUGGGGUGAAGUGUGGAAAACACCUCCAAUUCUUUCAGAAUAUUGACCAGUAUACCGUAGCUUCUUUCCUCGUUUAGCUAUCCUUAAGUAACUUCCAAUCAACAAUCCGAGGGCGAGAAUGCACGCUUUGGUAUUAUAGCUUAGGAGGUAUUGAUUAAGCUCUGUAGCAGCUGGGGCUAUAAAUGGAUGGUUCAUCACGCCAUGGCAACCCGGCCGCAACUCAAGGUCCCCGCCAUGGAUAAGUAUCCUGUGUCUUUAAAUUACAGUGUUUCGGCUGACAACAGCCACAUGAUCAAACCAGAGAGUUCACCAUCCGCGUUGGUUGGGGAACGAUAACCCAAGUAAAUUUUAUUCACUUGAUAAUCACGUACACCAACAAAGAUGGAGAAGUGAGAUAGAAAUCCAACCUAUGUAAGUACUGCAGAAAAAUGAUUUGACUGUUUUUGCUAAAAAAAUAUCUGUCUAUUUUUGUCAGGCAUGAAAAAGAUGGACGUAGGUAGGAAAUAAACAGCUAAAGACGUUCGCCGCUAUCAUUUUUUUUAUGCAAAUAGUCAAAGACUUUUUUUUUUUGUAAAGAGUGUUUUUAAUCUAUUUAUUAAUACGAGUCCCAGUUGAGUGUUGUUUUGUGAUGAUUGUAAAAUAGUUUUUAACUUAUUUAUUGAUAAUUUUAACAUAUGUGAGUAGUAAAAUGUUUUAUUUUUUAUUUUUUAAAAAGGUUAUUUUUUAAACAUGAAAAAACAAACUUUUGACUUAAGAAACAAAACAUACUAAGCAUGAAAAAAUAGUUUUUAACUUAUUUAUUGAUAAUUUUAACCUCCUCCUUUUUUGUUUUGUUUUUUAUCAACCCCCUGCUCCUACAUGUCCACGAAAUACUCGUCUGAAAGACAUAGUAUGCACGUGAUAUCGUACAUGGUGAUGUGUUGUUAGCUGUUCCUCAAACUUCUAGCCGUCCAGGGAUGGCAAAGUCGCAAUUCCCUUCUCGUCGUCCUCGUGAGAAUACAAUGCUUUAAAAGUUUAGAAGUCUUCAAGGAAUCAAACUGACGUGAUAAGAGGCAAAUCAUACACUAGUUUCAACUUUGAUUUCAUUUGGGCUGUUUCAAUUUGGUAUAAUUUUUUUUUUGGUUUGAAAUUAUGUUUAGAUUAUUUGUUUUUGAAAAAAAAUUAAAUUAAUCUUUUAAAAUAUUUUUUUAUGAUAAUGAUAAACUAGUAUCUAAAUUGAAAAAAAAAAUAUUUUUUUUAAAUAAAAAGUAUUUUUAAAAAUCAUUAUGUAUUAUUACAAUACCAAAUACAUAAUUAAACUAAAAUAUUUGAGUUGUAAUAAUGAUAUUUAUAUGGUUUUAUUCCGUUGUUUCAGUGGCUUGUACAGGUUUAAUUAAUAAACAGUAUAAUAAAAGAAUAUGAUACAAAAGUUUUUUUUAAAAGCAUUUUGUUUACAUAUUUUAAUAUAUUUUUUGAAAUUUUAAAAAACUGAAUUUUAUUUUCAGAAUUUUUUGCUUAAAAAAUUAAAAUUAAUUCAAAUUAAAUUGAUAUAGACACAUGUCAUAUAUUGAGUCAGUAAUUGUUUAUGGUGUUUAUUUUUUAAAAAUAAAUAUAGUGACUAAAAAUAUUUAGAAUGUAAAAAACACAAAUACCUUCAUCUACAAAUAUUAAAAACGGCUUGAAUUAUUUUUUAAAAUAUUUUAUCAAGCUGUUUUUGUUUUAGGAAAUUAAAAAUUGGCAUCAUUUUGAUUAUUUGAACACUUCUAGUAUAUCUAGAGAGUCAACAAAUUCAAAUUAAAAGUGUUUUAGAUCCAAAAUCUUCCAGUCUUCAAAAUUUCUUUACCCUUUCCACUCUGAGGUUAACAUUUAAAUCCCCAUGAUUAAAUUAUACCCUACUAUACUACAACAAUUCCUAUAUUAAGGUAUAAUUUUUCGAUUAAUUUUACGAAAUCAAAAGUAAUGGAUUUAAUGAUCACAUCAAUAAUUCACUUCUCAAAAUAGAAUAAAUUAUAAUCAUACAAUAAAGACAAUAUCCCUUUGUUUUUUUUUUCUUUUCAGAAAUGUUAGUUUCUCCACAUGUCGCAGUUAGAAACACGUUUUCUUCUUUUUCUUGUGUGAAAAGGUACAAAAUGACUUAAUUUAUUUUUGUUAUUUCAAUGGGGGGAAAAAGUAUAUCUCUGGCAUUUUUCGCAAUCGGCUUUGGUUAAUCGAACCUUGCCCUACUGUGUAAAAAAGUAAAAACAAAACAUGAAGCUGGCCAUGGCAUUUCCUGAUUCGAUAAUUAAUUAUUUGUCGUUCCUUUUAUUUUAAUAUAUUUUUGAAAAGCUUAACAACACAAACUGCAAAUUUGAUCCCUAUCAGAUGGGUCAACUGGGUGUUUCAUCUGGCAUUUGAUGUCCGAGUUGGACCAAUUAUAUCUCUGGCAUCAAUUUACGAUCCAGAAAAGCACACCUAUCGCAGCGUGUUGUACCGAGGGCACAUAUCUGAACUCUUUGUCCCCUACAUGGAUCCAACCGAGGAAUAUUACUACAAAACAUUUUUUGAUUGCGGAGAAUUCGGGUUUGGUCAAAAUGCGGCUUCAUUGGUGCCCCUGGCCGAUUGUCCAAAUAAUGCAGUAUUCAUGGACGGCUACUACGCAGCACAUGACGGUUCAGCAGUGAAAGUAUCAAAUGCUUUUUGCAUAUUUGAAAGGCACGUUGGAGAUAUCAUGUGGCGACAUACCGAGUUGGGGAUUCCAAACCGAGUGGUAAACAUUUUUGUGACGUUGUAUUUUAGAGCCAUUGAUUUCGAUUUCAUCAGCUAAUAUAUAUAUAUGAUUGAAAAAUGUGGUCGUUAUUUUCAGAUAAAUGAGGCGAGGCCUGAGGUGAGCCUAGUAGUGAGGAUGGUUGCCACGAUCGGUAACUAUGAUCAUAUAAUAGACUGGGAAUUCAAGCCAAGUGGUUCUAUCAAAGCUCAGGUAAACUGUAGACAAUGGCGUGGGCCGCGUGGCUUUAUAUAUAAUUAACCUUGAUCACCUUGAUCAUGAUCAUAUCCUCAAGUUUGUAACACGUUCUAUGUCUCAACAGGUUGGUUUAAGUGGAAUUCUUGAAGUGAAGUCAACAACAUUCACCAACGUGGAUCAGAUAAAUGAAGAAGUUUACGGUACAUUGUUGGGAGACAACACAAUCGGCUUAAACCAUGAUCAUUUCUUGACUUACCGCCUUGAUCUUGACAUUGAUGGUGCUGCCAAUUCUUUUGUUAAGCAAAAUUUGGUAACCAAACAUGUGAAUGAUGAUGUCUCACCAAGGAAGAGUUAUUGGACUGUUGUUAGUGAAACAGCCAAGACUGAAACGGAGGCGAAAAUUCGCUUAGGGACGACUCCAUCUGAGCUGGUAAUUGUGAAUCCAAAUAAGAAAACUAAACCUGGAAACCAUCAUGGCUAUCGUUUGAUACCAGGGGCACCUACACACCCCCUUCUGCUAGAGGAUGACUAUCCACAAAUUCGUGGAGCCUUCUCUAAGUAUAAUGUGUGGGUCACCCCAUAUAACAAGUCUGAAAUAUGGGCAGGAGGAAAGUAUGUUGAUCAAAGCCAAGGACAAGACACUUUAGCUGUUUGGACCCUCAGGUACUCCAUUGCUAAUCUAAAACAGUAGAGAUCAUGUCAUUAAUUAACUUAAUUUCAAUCUCGAAAUUUAUUCCAAUUUUCUGUUUUUGGAUGUGCAGGGAUAGAAAGAUUGAAAACGAGGACAUAGUAUUAUGGCAUGUCUUAGGGUAUCACCACUCCCCUUGCCAAGAAGAUUUUCCUGUGAUGCCAACAUUGAGUGCUGGAUUCGAGCUCCGACCAGCUAAUUUCUUUGAAAGCAAUCCUGUGCUCAAGGUGUUGCCUCCUAAGCCUGUACGUUGGCCUAACUGCACCGCCAAACCAUAGUCUAUUUUCUUUCGUGUUUCUCGAAAUGCCAAAUAAAUUUGUCUCUACUUUAAUGCUUGCAUGUUGUUGUAUUUGUGGUGCGGAGCUUUGCUAUUGGGAGUUCCGUAUCGAAAACAAGAAAGCUUGCAAGAGCUCUGCUCGAUGAACUAGAACGUUUCAAUGUUUUGUUAGAAAUCAUAUGGUUUCCAACAAAAUAAUUCAUCUAACUAAAGAACUCCCUUUUUUUUUUUUUAGGAAGAAAGGCUAACUUCAAAUUUUAACUGCUGAAAUAGAGAUUUUAACCUGCCAACCAAAUGACUAAUAGCUUCAUUUGCUAUUAUUAAUUCCACUUCCCCUCCCUCAGGCUGAGGUAACAAGGCUCCACAACCCAGGCUUCUAUUUCCUAUAUGUGUGCCCAAGUCCUGUAUAGUAUCGUAGGAAUUUGAUCCUCAAACUGUAGGAUUGAACUCAUAGCACGAAACUGGUUAGCAUUUUUGUGUUUCCUUCCAUUAAGAGCAGAACGAGAACAAUAUGCCUUUUCACACUCUUUAUACAUUAAUUGUAAGCCGGCAUCUUGGCAAUGGUUCAGGAUGAAUGGACCAUAAUAUUGAGUUAUCUUGGAAUAAGCUUUAUAAUUUAUUUUUCCCGGCAAGUUCUUUUUCUAUAUUUUUUCUUUAGACUCCAUAUGUUUUUUUAUACAUGAUUAAAUUAAAUCAUUUUAUUAGAUUUAAUAGUAUUCUAGCGAAGAUAUUUUUUUUAACAUGCUAGCAGCGUUUGAUUUGAUUAAAUUUUUUAUUGCAAUUUAGUUUAGAAAAAAGAAGGUAUAGAUUGAUACUUGGCUUCGAAAAAAGAAGAAGAAUACUUAUCAAAUCCCAAGGUCCAAGCUCCAAGUGCGAGCAUAUUGACAAAGAAACGAGGCAAGAAGAUAAGAAGACAGAAAUGUCGAGAGGUAAUUAAAAGUCUUGGAAGAGUGGGGCUAGCGCCCAGCAAACACCAGCAACACAAUUAUCGAGAGCUGAUAAUCCAUCAGUUUACGAUCUUGAACGACGUUGCUUAACUCACCUAUCUAUUUCUAUUUUAUAAGGAAAAAAAUGAUGAAAACUGUCGCACCUUACAAAAAAUCCAAUUGCGUGUUCGGCUGGUGAUUUUUUUUUUGUUUUAUUGAUUUGGUUCUUUGGAGUCGUCAUCUAGUAUUUUAGUCACUAGGAAUUCUAACUGGUCUCAGAGAUUGGAUACGAGGACUGGUUGCGUAAAGAGAAGGUAUUAGCACCCCAAAUACGCCCUACCUAAGGUAAGCUGCAUUGUUUUAUUGUCUGAUAAAAACGAAGGUGUUAUUGUGUUUUCCUAGUUGUUGGUCUGUCUAUGGUUCAAGAAAAAUUCUCCUCGGUAAGGAGAUCUUUAUCUUAUCGGGUAAAAUCCUAACCGUUCUAAUGUCUAUACCAAAACUUUAUUAAUAAUAUUUAGGAAUACGUUUUACGUAUAAAUUCGUAAUCCCAAAUGCUAAAAGAAAACAAAAAGAUUUUUUUAGAAUUUUUGAAAUAUUGACCUAGUUCUCAUAGCUUGAAUAAACUAGUUAUUAAAGCCAAAAUGCAUGCUAAUACAUAUAUUGUUUUGAAAAAAAAAAAAAAAAAAUUUUGUUGUGUGAAAAUAUGAUGUUAUAAUAUUUAUAUAUAUAUAUAUAUAUAUAUAUAUAUUAGAGAGACUAGGCCGUAUUUUAAAACCAAAAAACAAAUUUUUUUUUGGAAAAUAUUAUUUUUUAUGCUUUGACGAAAAUCAAGUAUUUUAAUACUGAGUUUGUAUCCUUACGAUAUAAAAAUACAACUCAAUAUUAAUCCACUUUAAUAAAAAUAUGCAGAAAAAUCAACAACAUUUUUAGGGAUUUUUUAGAAUAUGUUUUGAAAGCAAAAACAUUUUUUAUUUUGAAAAUCUUUGAUAUUUUGACGAAAACCGGGUAUUUUUAACACUGGUUUUGUAUCUUUACGAUAUAAAAAUACAAACCAACAUUAAACCAUUUUGACAAAAAUAUGCAAGAAAAUCAACAAUAUUUUUUUAAGAUUUUUCAAAAUAUAUAUUUUUUAAUAUAAAUAUUUUUUUAUAUAUAUAGCAUAUAUAUACACAUAUAUUAUAAUAUAUAAUAUAUUAUAUUAUGAGGCUGGGCCGACCCAAAUAAAUGGGCCAGGCUCAGCCCAAAAAAAUAAAACGGGCCGUCCUCGACCCAAAAUGAAAUUGGGCCGAUCUCGGCCUAAAAACUUCUACAGUCUGGGCCAGGACCGGCCCAGACUUGCAAGGCUGGCCCAGCACCCUCGGCCCAGCAGGGGGGGGAGAAUUAAUUUUCUUCCCCCCGCCUCCUGCAUGCAGAACUCUUUAUGCAGGAGGUAACGCCUGCAACGAAAGCGAAGGGGGAAGAAGAAAAUUUACCUGGUGUGGAGGAGGCGGUCACUGGCGGGGCUGCGGUGGCGUGGCUGAGGAGGCGCUGCGGCUGUUUCCAAGUGUUCGGUUCACUCUCUCUCUCUCCUCCCUUCUCCUUGUUUCAGUUCUCUUUUUUCUUUUUGUUUUCGGUUUGGUUCCAAUAUUCCCUUCUCUCUCUCUCGUGCGUGCUCUCUCUUCUCUUCGGUCUCCUCCCUCUCCCUCCUCCCUUCAGUUCACUCUUUAUUUAUAGGGGAAGAAUCGGUGCGCCUUUUGCUAGUGCGGGAGCAAAUCACGCAACGGCUGGUCAGCCAUUGACUCGUUCGGUGGUCUUAUGGGGCUUCGGUGGGGGCGAGGAGAGAGAGGCGGGAAGGUUUGAAAUGGUUUUCGUCUUCUGCUGCUCUGCUCAGGGGGGAAGAAGGAAGAUGAACAGUGUCGUUCAAAACGACACCGUUCUAGUCUUCCUUUUUUUUUUUUUAUAUAUAUGAAACGACGUCGUUUUGGAUAAAACACGCCGUUUCAUUUAAAUGAGCCAAACUUCAAAUCAGCCCUCCAUCAUUUCUUGUUCAUUUCAAUUGUAUCCCUGCCAAAUUCGGUCCCCGCCUCUCUUGUUGGCCGAGUUUUUUCACUUUAGUCCUUGGGCUCUAAUUUAUGCAAUUGAGCCCUCAAUUGAUUAAUAAACUUUCAAUUUCUUCAAUUAGGCCCCUGAAUCGAAUAAUUGCAGCCCUUACAUUUACGCGCCUCUUCCAAUUUGGUCCAUGGUUUCGGAUUUUCUUAAUUAAUUCCCUAAUUGGCCAUUAAACUUCAAUAUUUAUGCAAUUAAGCCCCUGAUUUGACCUACAAAAUUCCUAAAAAAAAUAUUUUGGCCCCAGAACUUAAAUUUCUUUCAAUUAAAGCCCAAAUUGACUUAAAAAUCAAAUUUUCUUGCAAUCAAAUCUCCUAUAAAAUCAAUUAAAAAUCCAAUUAAGUUCAUAAACAUCCAAACUUCGGCUUUUGUCCUUAAAAUUCAAAUUUUUCCUUCUCAACAGGGUUCUCUUCCUUUAAGAAUAUACUGUCAAAAAUCCAAUCUUUAUAUUUUUUUUACUUCCUUGACCAAUUUUCCGACCAUUUUCUGAGCGCUUCUGCCUCUUGUUAUUUUUUUAGCCGUCUUUGGUUAUUUAUUUUAUUUUUUGUGGGGACCCAAAAAAAUGGGUUACAACAAAAACAUUAAAAAUGAUGAUAAUACAUUUGCUUUUCACAAUCUAUGAAACUUUAAUCGUUUUUUGAGACUAAAAUUUAAUGGCUUUCUACCUUGAUGUCCUCGUCACUGGCCAUCAAAGUCUUGGAAGACUUUGAUAAGAAAUGUCGAGAGAAAAUUCAAAGUCUUGGAAGAGAAAAGAAAAGAGACAUGUGCGUCCUGAAACUAGGUUUUGUCAAUUAGAGCAGUUGGGAUUGCCGGUUGGUGGAGAUUUUUUCCAAUGUUAAAUCCUCCUGUGUUGCCUGAGCUAAUCCAUAUGUAAAAAAUCUAUAAGAGUGAACUGAAACCUUCAUUUAGCAAUCCCUUAUCAUGUCAACAAAGAAAAAAAAAACAAUUAAGCUUCAAUAAUUUAUCAAACUGGUUUUAGACAUAACUAGAUAUAUUACGCGUGUUUUAUUAAAUAAUUUUUUUAAUGUAAAAAAAUUUAAAUCUCAAGUUACUAGUUAAAGUGAUAAUUUAAAUAAUAUAAUAAAAUAAUAACAAUAACUAAAUUAACAAACAGUGAUUAUUAAGGAUAUUGAAAUGUAUCAUUGAGAGUUGUACUCAAUGAUACAAUUCUAGCCAAAGAAUCAGGAGUUUUUUCUCAUGGUAACACAAUGAAAAAAAAAUAUAUUUUCGAGACUAACACAACUUUUUCCCCAAACUAGUAUAAUUUUACUAUUCAUACAGGUCUCACGUGUGAAACUCACAUAUUAAUUUUUUUUCCUUCUUUUUUCUACCUCAUUUCAUAAUCCGGUCCCUUUAUUCAUCUUUAAUUAACUUAUUUUUGUGCAAAACCUUUUUAUGCUCAAAAUUUCUGUGAGUGUGUGUGUAUAAUUGUUACUUUCAUCACUUUAGUUUUACUCUCAAUUAUUAAUCCUUUUAGAAAAAAAGUAAAUUAAAAUACUUAUAUAUUUUCUAUUAUAAUAGUAAAAAAAAAAAACAAACCAACCUAUUAAUAUCUCAACACUUCCAUCAUUUCUUGACAGGGUUUGCUGUCGUCUCAUUAGAACUUUGUAAGUAAUACAUGAUCAACCUAUUAAUAUCGAACCUCAUCUUUCCUGCUGUACUAAUUAAUUGGACGGUUUACACUCGCGCGCACAAUAUUCUAACAGCUAGAUACUGGUUUCACUGGAUUAUCUAGAUUUGGAUUUUAAUUGAAUCUUUUGAAUUUUAUAAAUUAAUUAAAUCAUUAAUUCCAGUCCCAUAAUUAUAAACUCAACAUAGUUAGGCGGGUCAUUACGUCAACCAACAUUAGUCUAAUUUGAAAAGUACGAUUGCAACUAAUAUUUUUUUCUGAAUACGUACGUGCACUCAUAAAAAAAGUCCAAAAUGCCUAUUUAAGGAUGAAGAAGCUCCAGAGUUCCUUCAUAGCCAUGGCUUCAACAUUGAAAGUGGUGCUCUUGUUACUCUUCUCUAGCUUUACUAUCUCGCCUAUCUCUUGCUACAAGGGUGCGCAGCACCCACUAGACCCUCUAUCCCCGAAAGAGUUGACCCUUGUCCAAACCAUUGUCAAGAAAUCAUACAACCCUAGCUCAAACAACACCAUAUCAUUCCAUUAUGUAGGGUUAGAUGAGCCAGAAAAACCAACUGUUCUGUCAUGGCUAUCGAAACCCAGCACCAAAACCCUUCCUCGCCGGGCCCUAGUCUUUACUCGAGUAAAUGAACAAACCCAUGAAAUUAUUGUAGACUUGUCGAAACGCAUCAUUGUAGAAGAUGAAGUUUACAAGGGACCCGGCUAUCCUUUACUUACAGCUGACGAGCAAAUAGCUGCGAUUCUGUUGCCAUUAACGUACGGUCCCUUUAUCGAAUCAACUAAAAAGAGAGACCUUAACGUUUCAUAUGUUGUUUGUUCUACAUUUACAGUGGGGUGGUUUGGAGGAGUUGAGAGAACUAAAAGGGUGGUAAAAGUUCAAUGUUUUUAUAACAAGGACACCGUUAAUUUGUACCUCAGGCCAAUAGAGGGUAUACAAAUAGUUGUCGAUCUUGAUAAAAUGAAGAUUGUUGAAUACAGU